UACGGAAGGUGCGAGCGUUAAUCGGAAUUACUGGGCGUAAAGCGCGCGUAGGCGGCUUGGUAAGUCGGAUGUGAAAGCCCCGGGCUCAACCUGGGAACGGCAUUCGAUACUGCUGAGCUGGAGUACGAGAGAGGGGGGUGGAAUUCCAGGUGUAGCGGUGAAAUGCGUAGAGAUCUGGAGGAACACCAGUGGCGAAGGCGGCUCCCUGGCUCGAUACUGACGCUGAGGUGCGAAAGCGUGGGGAGCAAACAGG
This 253-nucleotide ribosomal RNA is filed under the name uncultured bacterium. RNAcentral describes it as "partial 16S ribosomal RNA". It matches the Rfam family "Bacterial small subunit ribosomal RNA", at positions 524 to 776 of the family's 1533-position model. The record is from RNAcentral.